CGGGACGGGUGAGUAAUGUCUAGGGAAACUGCCUGAGGGAGGGGGAUAACACUGGAAACGGUAGCUAAUACCGCAUAACGUCGCAAGACCAAAGAGGGGGACCUUCGGGCCUCUUGCCAUCGGAUGUGCCCAGAUGGGAUUAGCUAGUAGGUGGGGUAACGGCUCACCUAGGCGACGAUCCCUAGCUGGUCUGAGAGGAUGACCAGCCACACUGGAACUGAGACACGGUCCAG
This 233-nucleotide ribosomal RNA is filed under the name uncultured bacterium. RNAcentral's name for it is "partial 16S ribosomal RNA". It matches the Rfam family "Bacterial small subunit ribosomal RNA", at positions 100 to 334 of the family's 1533-position model. The record is from RNAcentral.